This 66-nucleotide transfer RNA is filed under the name Drepanepteryx phalaenoides. RNAcentral describes it as "tRNA-Pro". Lineage: Eukaryota; Metazoa; Arthropoda; Insecta; Neuroptera; Hemerobiidae. The record is from RNAcentral.
CAGAAAAUAGUUUAUAAAAAAUAUUAAUUUUGGAGAUUAAUGAAAAGAUUUAUUUCUUUUUUCUGA